RNAcentral lists this ribosomal RNA (588 nucleotides) under uncultured bacterium. Its description in RNAcentral is "bacterial SSU rRNA". It matches the Rfam family "Bacterial small subunit ribosomal RNA", at positions 338 to 916 of the family's 1533-position model. The record is from RNAcentral.
CCUACGGGAGGCAGCAGUGGGGAAUCUUGCGCAAUGCGCGAAAGCGUGACGCACCAACACCGCGUGGAGGAAGACGGCCUUAGGGUUGUAAACCUCUUUAAGAUGGGACGAAGGUGAUGCGGUGAAUAGCCGAUGUCAUUGACGGUACCGUCAGAAGAAGCUCCGGCUAACUACGUGCCAGCAGCCGCGGUAAUACGUAGGGAGCGAGCGUUGUCCGGAAUCAUUGGGCGUAAAGAGCAUGUAGGUGGAUCAAUUAGUCUGCUGUGAAAGUCAAAGGCUCAACCUUUGAAAGCCGGUGGAUACUGUUGGUCUAGAGUACGGAAGAGGCGAGUGGAAUUCCUGGUGUAGCGGUGGAAUGCGCAGAUAUCAGGAGGAACACCAAUAGCGAAGGCAGCUCGCUGGGACGUUACUGACACUGAGAUGCGAAAGCGUGGGGAGCAAACAGGAUUAGAUACCCCUGGUAGUCCACGCCGUAAACGAUGGGUACUAGAUGUGGGAGGUGUCGACUCCUCCCGUAUCGUCGCUAACGCAGUAAGUACCCCGCCUGGGGAGUACCGCCGCAAGGCUAAAACUCAAAUGAAUUGACGG